AUGAUAUCUAUGAAUGUUCCUAAGUUUUUGUGGGGUGAAGCUGUAAUGACAGCUGCUUACUUGAUGAAUAGAAUGCCAUCCAGGGUACUUGGUUAUAAAACACCGUUAGAGUGUCUAACGGGUGAAACAAAAUAUGUGGUUCCACCUAAGGUCUUUGGGUGUGUUUGUUUUGUGAAGGAUUACAGACCAUCUGUUGGCAAGCUAGACCCAAAGGCGUUAAAGUGUGUAUUCGUGGGGUACUCUGGUAAGCAGAAGGGAUAUAAAUGUUGGUGUCCAUCUGAAAGGAGAAUGUUUGUGAGUAUGGAUGUGGUAUUUAGGGAGCAGGAACCAUUCUAUGGUGAACCGACGGAUUUAACUGAUGUCUUCCCUGAUUUGUUUGCUAAUGAAAAUUUAGAUGCAGAUUGUGAGACAGGGGGAGAUAAGGAAGAGGAAGAUGAUGCAACAUCAAGAAAGAUGAUAGUUGGGGUAAUUCCAGUGGAAACAUAG
This 486-nucleotide ribosomal RNA is filed under the name Triticum aestivum (bread wheat). RNAcentral's name for it is "partial small subunit ribosomal RNA". The record is from RNAcentral. Lineage: Eukaryota; Viridiplantae; Streptophyta; Magnoliopsida; Poales; Poaceae.